RNAcentral lists this ribosomal RNA (522 nucleotides) under uncultured bacterium. RNAcentral's name for it is "bacterial SSU rRNA". It matches the Rfam family "Bacterial small subunit ribosomal RNA", at positions 1 to 510 of the family's 1533-position model. The record is from RNAcentral.
UUCGAUUGAGUUUGAUCCUGGCUCAGGACGAACGCUGGCGGCGUGCCUAACACAUGCAAGUGGAGCGACGAACCAGGCUUCGGCCUGGGGCAAAGCCGCGAACGGGUGAGUAACACGUGGGUAACCUGCCCCGAUGACCGGGACAACCCGAGGAAACUCGAGCUAAUACCGGAUGUGCCCUGCGAUCGCAAGGNCGGUGGGGAAAGGAAGCUUCGGCCUCCGCAUCGGGAUGGGCCCGCGGCCCAUUAGCUUGUUGGUGAGGUAACGGCUCACCAAGGCGACGAUGGGUAGCUGGUCUGAGAGGANGAUCAGCCACACUGGGACUGAGACACGGCCCAGACUCCUACGGGAGGCAGCAGUGGGGAAUCUUGCGCAAUGCGCGAAAGCGUGACGCAGCAACGCCGCGUGGGGGAAGACGGCCUUCGGGUUGUAAACCCCUUUCAGUUGGGACGAAGCUCCGUCGGUGAAUAGCCGAUUGGAGUGACGGUACCUUCAGAAGAAGCCCCGGCUAACUACGUGCCA